GAGGUUGGCCUGCGGACGUUUCGCUCGCCAACCGGGUCAGAGCCGGAAGGAAGCAGCCCUAACGAGACCGUAAUGGGUUGCUCGUCCAGCCUCUCA
RNAcentral lists this signal recognition particle RNA (96 nucleotides) under Pseudomonadota bacterium. RNAcentral's name for it is "signal recognition particle sRNA small type". It matches the Rfam family "Bacterial small signal recognition particle RNA". From Rfam's summary of the family: The signal recognition particle (SRP) is a universally conserved ribonucleoprotein involved in the co-translational targeting of proteins to membranes. Archaeal SRP consists of a 7S RNA and homologues of the eukaryotic SRP19 and SRP54 proteins. Lineage: Bacteria; Pseudomonadati; Pseudomonadota. The record is from RNAcentral.